CUGCUUCUUUGAGGCGGUGUUUAUCACAAGAACAGGUUUGCCGAAGAGCCGGUUAUCCAGGCUCGAGGCCAAAUGGUUCCCAGGGGAUAAACACAGGGCUUCGAGGCAGGAGUGAAGUCGAUCCAGGGGUAGGGGAGCGUUGUAUGCGGAUUGAAGGUUGACCGAGAGGACAGCUGGACUUCAUACAAGUGAGAAUGCCGGUAUGAGUAACGAAAAGAUCAGUGAGAAUCUGAUCCGCCGAAAGCCCAAGGUUUCCUGAGGAAGGCUCGUCCGCUCAGGGUCAGUCGGGACCUAAGGCGAGGCCGAAAGGCGUAGUCGAAGGACAACAGGUUGAUAUUCCUGUACCACCAUAAUCCGUUAUGAGCAAUGGGGGGACGCAGGAGGGUAGUGACGCGGACUGAUGGAUGUCCGUCUAAGCAGCGAGGCUGGUGUAUAGGCAAAUCCGUACACCAUAAGGCUGGGCUGUGAUGGGGAGCGAAACUUACAGUAGCGAAGGUCAUGAUCUCACACUGCCAAGAAAAGCCUCUAGCCAGGAGAAGGUGCCCGUACCGCAAACCGACACAGGUAGGCGAGAAGAGAAUUCUAAGGCGCGCGGAAGAACUCUCGUUAAGGAACUCGGCAAAAUGACCCCGUAACUUCGGGAGAAGGGGUGCCUCGGUAGGGUGAAUAGCCCGAGGGGGCCGCAGUGAAAAGGCCCAAGCGACUGUUUAGCAAAAACACAGGUCUGUGCGAAGCCGCAAGGCGAAGUAUACGGGCUGACGCCUGCCCGGUGCUGGA
This 777-nucleotide ribosomal RNA is filed under the name Campylobacter jejuni. RNAcentral describes it as "partial 23S ribosomal RNA". It matches the Rfam family "Bacterial large subunit ribosomal RNA", at positions 1207 to 1873 of the family's 2925-position model. The record is from RNAcentral. Lineage: Bacteria; Pseudomonadati; Campylobacterota; Epsilonproteobacteria; Campylobacterales; Campylobacteraceae.